Molecule: long non-coding RNA, 1311 nt
Organism: Trifolium pratense (red clover)
Lineage: Eukaryota; Viridiplantae; Streptophyta; Magnoliopsida; Fabales; Fabaceae
Exons: 8
Source: RefSeq, a predicted model, not a curated record
UAACUACACACAUUGAACACAGCUAUAAGGUAAUUUUUGCCACGUGUCCUUCUCACAGAGCUGCAGAGCGAAAUUGAGCUGGACAAACAGACAAAAAACAUACUGCUUUUGGCCAAAUUUUGAAAUGUUAUUCCCUCCUUCAGUUUCUUUACGAAAUGGGCCAACAAAUGACAGUCCAAUGCUAUCCGGCCCAGCAAAGCCCAGUCCGUCUAGAGGAAAAGCUUUGAGGCCAAACAAAAAACAGCUGUCUUGGAGACAAUAUGUUGACCCGUCCUUUUCUUUAAUCAGGUUGGUUUACUUCUUUUGACUAAGACAUUAUUUUCUUUUCUUUUACACCUUCCCAAAAACACCAUUUUGGUGAAAAACUCUACAUCAGACACAGUUUUUUUGUGGAAUCAAUUUCAAAUUUCAAAUUCAUGGGUUUCAUUUCAGUUAUUCCCUCUUCAGAUCUCUCGCUCUCUCUUCUUUCAGUUUUCUUGAAACCCCUCUCGCCUCCUUCUCAGCUUCACAUAAAAGGAAAAGAGCAUGAUAGAUCGAAUAACAAAUUAGAGUGUGACUUCUUCAACUUUGUAAAGUAGAAAGAUUCACAAAAGCAGCAAUGACAAAGAUCGAUGAAGCACAACACACAUGUUCUCCUCUAGGUUUCAUUGCUGCUUUGAAGAGAAAUGGGGUUUAAAGAGGGUGCAACCGCAAGAAAUCAAGCUGCCUAAAGAAAUAUUGUGAAUGCUAUCAGGGGGGGUGUUGUUUGCUCCAUUAGCUGCAAAUGUGAAGGGUGCAAGAAUGCAUUCGGCAGAAAGGAUGGUUUUAUCAAGUAAUUUACAAAAGAUAACACUGGUCUCUUUCCUAAUUGGCACAAGUUUAUUUGGAUGGGCAACCAAGCAAAUUAUAAAUGUUAUUCAGGCCAAAAGAUUUGUAGACUAUUGGCUACUUUGGUCCUCUAAAUGAAGUUUUCAUGCCUCAUGAUUAUUAUAUUAAGUUCAACAGUUGUUGAUGUCUUUCAGGAUCUAUUGGUUAAAGUGGAUACAAGCUAAAGGGAAAUAUGGGAAUAACUUUCAAUAUCAAGCUUUCAAUAUUUCUCACUUAAUUAGACUAACUACAAUUUAUUAAUUCUAACUUCUAUGUAUUAUGGAUUCAAUCUUACCAAGUUAGAUUGAUUGCAACUUAAGAAUUCCAAUUUUAAUGAUAAAAUGGUUCAAUCUCAUCUAAUUACAUUAAUUUUCACUUACAAAUUCGAUCUUUAUAAUACAACAGAGUAAUAUAAUCAAAGUUUUAGCAUAAAUAAUGACAUAAGAUUAUAUCUCUAAAAAACGC